GCUCCUUCCCUGUUUUAUGCUUGUCAUAGCUACAAAGACCUGGUUAGUUUUUCAGACUUGCAACACACAAAAAUGUUUCACGAAUCAAGACUCAUUGAUCCUGAAGACCUGCGGAGAGAAUUGACCCACUAUGAUCCUGAAGAACUAAGAGCAACUGUAGGCUCUGAGACUGAAAACCAAGAAUCAAGGCGACAUGAACAUGAAAGUAACCCUGAAAUAAUUUAUAGCACGCAGGU
Long non-coding RNA from Puntigrus tetrazona (Sumatra barb), 236 nucleotides. RefSeq lists it as uncharacterized. The transcript is spliced from 4 exons. The record is from RefSeq and is a predicted model, not a curated record. Lineage: Eukaryota; Metazoa; Chordata; Actinopteri; Cypriniformes; Cyprinidae.